Molecule: non-coding RNA, 2959 nt
Organism: Carassius auratus (goldfish)
Lineage: Eukaryota; Metazoa; Chordata; Actinopteri; Cypriniformes; Cyprinidae
Source: RefSeq, a predicted model, not a curated record
GCAAACACGUCCACUUGGGGCCCACAUGGGCCUCACUUGGGCUAGUUGGGCUUUGGCUGGGCAUGGGCUCAGAGUGGGCUUUGUUGUUGGGCCCCACAUGGGCAGUAGAUGGGCUAAACUCAGUGGGCUCCAGCUAGGGCUCCACAAGAUAUUAUGUUUUUAUAUAUAUAUUCAAAAUUAAUUAUGUCAGACAUGGAUGCUUUUUUUAACAAUAGCCACUAGGCUAGGGUCACUUUUUAUAUGAAUAUUAUUAGACUAUUAAGCUAUUUAGAAGCCAUAGCAAUUUAAUAGUGGUCUGAAGCACUAUACAACUUUCAACAGACAAGUUUGCCACAGCAGGUUGCACAAAAUGUUCAAACCUAAGCAGUGCGCACUGUGUGCAGCGCACAUCCGGAAAGCUCCACCCCAAUCACUGAGCGAAAGAAGUUUGCCCAGCAACAAUUUUGCCGCCUUGAGUCUGCUGUCCGUUAAGGAUCCAUUACGGUGUCGACUGGACAAAAGACAGAAUAAUGGAGUGUUCAGAAAGAACUAAAAGGAGGAAAAUAUCAGCGAAAGUGGAGGAACAUUUGCGUCUCCUUGAAAAGGAGUCUAUGAUUGAUGAUUUGUUGGCACAUGAUUCUGAAAACGAAUACCAACUGGAUGAUUUGUUAGAGCAUACUGAAAGUGAAGAUUCCAUGGACACUUUCUACGAUGCUUGUGAUCAGAACUGUUUUGAGAAUUCAUCAAUUGAUUUAGAAGAUGAAAAUUCCUCAGAUUCUUUUUAUGAUUUUAACAUUUCCUCAUUUGAUGAUUUGGAUUCUGAAAACCGGGUUCCAGGUGAUAUGCCUGGUUGUGAUAGUGACUGUGAUUUGCAUGGAGAUGUGUGUUCUGACUUGGAAGAUGACAAUGAUGAUGAUUCGCAUGGGAUUGCAGAGUGGGCUGCAGAAUUCAACAUACCACAAACAGCGCUGUCUGCACUUCUUAAAAUCCUAAGGAGAAAGGGUCUUGAUAUCCCAAUGGAUGGCAGAACUCUUAUGUCAACUGACAGAUCUUGCAAUGUGGCGAAUAUGGCUGGGGGGUCCUACUACCACUUUGGAAUCGAAAAUGCUCUCAUAGCUGAACUAACAUCUUUAGGACAUUUAGCAAAUGUGACUGAUACUCUCACACUUCGAAUUAACAUCGAUGGAUUGCCCUUAUUCCGUAGCUCCAGUUUGAGUCUGUGGCCUAUUCUGGGUAUGAUUAAGGAAAUUCCAGAGUGUAGUGUCUUUGUAAUUGGAGUGUACUCUGGUGUGUCCAAACCCGCAAAUGUGCAAGAGUAUUUACAAGAAUUCAUUGUAGAUAUGAAAGCAAUUUCUCAGAGUGGUAUUGUGUACAAUGGUGUACAUUUCAGGGUACCAUUACCUGAUGCUUUUAUUUGUGAUGCACCUGCUCGUGCCUUUCUUAAAUGCUCCAAAGGCCAUACGGGCUAUUAUGGGUGUGAGAGGUGCACUCAAAAAGGCCAGUACAUUAAUGGGAAGGUGGCUUAUCCUGAAAUAUCAGCAGAGCUCAGGACAGAUGAGCAAUUUGGCAGGCAAGGCUAUCAACAGCACCAAAUGUCAGCCUCCCCCCUAAAUGACCUGGGUAUAGGUUUAGUUACCAGUUUUGUGUUAGAUUAUAUGCACCUUGUCUGCUUGGGGGCAAUGCGUAAGUUAAUAUUUCUUUGGUUGAAGGGGCCGCUGAAAUGCAGGCAAUCUAUGAAGUUUUUUGUUGUAAUGUCAGCAUAUAUGGUUUCUAUCAGGCAAUAUUUACCUAGCAAUUUUGCAAGGAAACCACGAUCCUUGUUUGAAUUCAGCACAUGGAAAGCUACAGAGCUUCGGCAAUUUUUACUUUACACUGGGCCUGUUGUUCUCCUCAAUAAUAUGAAUGAAACUAAUUGCCACUCAUUUGUCUGCCUCCCAAAGCAACGUAUGAAAUUGCCCGCACAAAAUUAGUCGAGUAUGAACAGAACACAGAUGUACCAACCGAAUCUGAUUCUACAGAGAAUAUGGGAAGGGGGAAGCGCAAAAAGAGACGAGUGAUUUUGUCCAGUGACGAUGAGGAUGAUGUCAAUUGGUCCGGCAGCCAAAUCAGGCCUACACCUCCAUCCACCCUCAGGUCUGUGCUGACACCUGCACCGCCUCCAUCCACCCUCAGUUCUUCACCAUCAUCUGCUAGGCCGACACUUCCACCACCUCUGGGUAACCUGAGAUGGCCUGAUGUUUCAACCCAUCACCACGUCACCACGUCACCAGAAACCUCUCAAAGACAAAUCAGGGGCAACAUGUUUGUUCGCAUCUUAACACUGAUUGAGGAGAUGAAAGAGACACAAAAAAUCCAGGGGAGGAUGUUACAAACGCUUCUACAACAGCGUGGCAACAUCGGCACCACCUUCUCUUCUACCCCCGAGGGUUUCCCCCUAAAGACAGUUAGGGAUGUGGAAAUCAUGGAAGAAAAACUGGCAAACCCAAACUUCAUGUCCGAACUGGUAUGCAUGUUAAGUCUAGGGUAGUGCAACUCAAUUAAAUUUUAUUGGGGGGCUUGCAGUGAAUUUGAUCUGAAACUUCCCAAGUGUGCUCACAACUUUUUGACAAGUUUUAGAUAAUUAGUUUAUUAAAUUAAUAAAGAGACAAAAAAUACCUUGAGAUAUGUUUGGUAAUUGUAUCUGAAUGAAUUUAAAGUUAAUUUGCUAUAUUUCAGAUCAAUAUAUUUGUUUUCCUUCAUUUUAAUUAACACUAACUUUAUUCUCAUCUGAAUUAUAAAUACUUUAUUUCUGUAUAAAAUAAUACUACCAUUAAAAACAUUUGAUUUUUAUUUUUUAAUCAAUGUAAUGAUGCCCCUACCAUUUCGAUUCAAUACGAAUACAUGUACCGUUCCACGCCUAGCUCACACCCAUGCUUCUGGCAGUUCUUUCAUGUUGAGUGGUUUACUCCAGUGAGCAAUAUACUGUAGAUAAAUUUGCUUU